Molecule: long non-coding RNA, 568 nt
Filed under: Elaeis guineensis (African oil palm)
Lineage: Eukaryota; Viridiplantae; Streptophyta; Magnoliopsida; Arecales; Arecaceae
Description: long non-coding RNA (EGUI_LNC067878)
Source: RNAcentral
UGCCCAUAUUUCUCUAUGCCCAAGAGAGGAAUUGAUUGUUGGCACCAUCUAGUUACCAUAAAAAUUAGAUUAGUUUUUCAUCUUAUCUCUAUCUUUGAUUUAAAUCAAAUUCAAACUAGAAAAGAGAUCAAGAGAUAAGGUGGAUGACUCAUCAACCAACUAUCUACCAUAACAAUCUUUCUCUCUCGUAUCUGUGUCCAAAACUCUCAUGCAAAUUAUUUCUCAUGCCAAAACAUUUUUGUCAUGGAAUAUGGAGCGUGAAAACCAAAAGGGGGGGCGGUGGAGAGAGAGUCCCAGCUCCAAUGGACUCUUGGGUUUUCAAAUUUGAAUUAAACUGAAUCUGAUUCGAUUUGAUCCGAAUAAGAAGAAGAAAUCUAAUCAAAUUAGGAACUCAAUAUCCUCAAUUAAAUCCUAAUCUUAUUAAGAAUUAACUGAACCUAAGUUUUGAUCAAAUCAAGAAUUAAUCUCCCUCGCAAUUGGGCUCGAUCUAAUCAAAUCCAACGUAGUCAAAUUGAAUCCAAUUUAAUUAGACUUGAUCCGAAUCUCAAUUACUCAAUCAAAUUGAGUU